AUUGAACGCUGGCGGCAUGCUUUACACAUGCAAGUCGAACGGUAACAGGUUAAGCUGACGAGUAGCGAACGGGUGAGUAAUGCAUCGGAACGUGCCCGAUCGUGGGGGAUAACACUUCGAAAGGAGUGCUAAUACCGCAUACGAUCUGAGGAUGAAAGCGGGGGACCGUAAGGCCUCGCGCGAUCGGAGCGGCCGGUGUCAGAUUAGGUAGUUGGUGGGGUAAAGGCUCACCAAGCCGACGAUCUGUAGCUGGUCUGAGAGGAAGACCAGCCACACUGGGACUGAGCCACGGCCCAGACUCCUACGGGAGGCAGCAGUGGGAAAUUUGGACAAUGGGCGCAAGCCUGAUCCAGCAAUGCCGCGUGCAGGAAGAAGGCCUUCGGGUUGUAAACUGCUUUUGUACGGAGCGAAAAGGCUCCCUCUAAUACAGGGGGCUCAUGACGGUACCGUAAGAAUAAGCACCGGCUAACUACGUGCCAGCCGCCGCAGUAA
This 492-nucleotide ribosomal RNA is filed under the name uncultured bacterium. RNAcentral's name for it is "partial 16S ribosomal RNA". It matches the Rfam family "Bacterial small subunit ribosomal RNA", at positions 30 to 523 of the family's 1533-position model. The record is from RNAcentral.